CAGUCGCCACGGGAAUACGUAGGUGGCAAGCGUUGUCCGGAAUUAUUGGGCGUAAAGGGCUCGCAGGCGGUUUCUUAAGUCUGAUGUGAAAGCCCCCGGCUCAACCGGGGAGGGUCAUUGGAAACUGGGAAACUUGAGUGUAGAAGAGGAGAGUGGAAUUCCACGUGUAGCGGUGAAAUGCGUAGAGAUGUGGAGGAACACCAGUGGCGAAGGCGACUCUCUGGUCUGUAACUGACGCUGAGGAGCGAAAGCGUGGGGAGCGAACAGGAUUAGAUACCCCUGUAGUCCCUGUCUCUUAUAC
This 301-nucleotide ribosomal RNA is filed under the name uncultured bacterium. RNAcentral's name for it is "partial 16S ribosomal RNA". It matches the Rfam family "Bacterial small subunit ribosomal RNA", at positions 509 to 807 of the family's 1533-position model. The record is from RNAcentral.